This 490-nucleotide ribosomal RNA is filed under the name uncultured bacterium. RNAcentral's name for it is "partial 16S ribosomal RNA". It matches the Rfam family "Bacterial small subunit ribosomal RNA", at positions 29 to 507 of the family's 1533-position model. The record is from RNAcentral.
AAUGAACGCUGGCGGCAUGCCUUACACAUGCAAGUCGAACGGCAGCAUGACCUAGCUUGCUAGGUUGAUGGCGAGUGGCGAACGGGUGAGUAAUGCAUCGGAACGUGCCUUUUAGUGGGGGAUAACGUAGCGAAAGUUACGCUAAUACCGCAUAUUCUCUGAGGAGGAAAGCAGGGGAGCUUCGGACCUUGCGCUAGAAGAGCGGCCGAUGUCGGAUUAGCUAGUUGGUGAGGUAAAGGCUCACCAAGGCAACGAUCCGUAGCGGGUCUGAGAGGAUGAUCCGCCACACUGGGACUGAGACAAGGCCCAGACUCCUACGGGAGGCAGCAGUGGGGAAUUUUGGACAAUGGGCGCAAGCCUGAUCCAGCCAUGCCGCGUGAGUGAAGAAGGCCUUCGGGUUGUAAAGCUCUUUCGGCUGGGAAGAAAUCGCACCCUCUAAUACAGGGUGUGGAUGACGGUACCAGCAUAAGAAGCACCGGCUAACUACGUG